RNAcentral lists this ribosomal RNA (427 nucleotides) under uncultured bacterium. Its description in RNAcentral is "bacterial SSU rRNA". It matches the Rfam family "Bacterial small subunit ribosomal RNA", at positions 354 to 796 of the family's 1533-position model. The record is from RNAcentral.
GCAAGGAAUUUUGCGCAAUGGGGGAAACCCUGACGCAGCAACGCCGCGUGGGCGAAGAAGGCCUUCGGGUUGUAAAGCCCUUUUCUAGGGGAAGAAGUUCUGACGGUACCCUAGGAAGAAGCCCCGGCUAACUACGUGCCAGCAGCCGCGGUAAUACGUAGGGGGCGAGCGUUGUCCGGAUUUAUUGGGCGUAAAGAGCGCGUAGGCGGUGCGUCAAGUCAGGUGUGAAAUCUCCCGGCUUAACUGGGAGGGUGCGUCUGAUACUGGCGUGCUGGAGUGCGGCAGAGGAGAGUGGAAUUCCCGGUGUAGUGGUGAAAUGCGUAGAUAUCGGGAGGAACACCAGUGGCGAAGGCGGCUCUCUGGGCCGUAACUGACGCUGAGGCGCGAAAGCGUGGGGAGCGAACUGAAUUAGAAACCCGAGUAGUCC